ACCAUAAAGUUAUAAUAUGAAUAAUUCUUCCAGUUAAAAGCCCUGAACCUUUUCUGAUUGCAGAACACAAGGUGGGAGAGAAAGUGAAGGGGUAGGACACGGGGGUUUAAAGAAGACAAAGGCAACCACUGUGACAAGCAUCUCUUAUCAGAGAGCUGAUAUUAAAAAUCUGCAGUAUCAGAAAGGCCUUAUUUUACUGCUCAGGCCGAGGGGUUCUCUAACUUUUCUUGAUAGGAUGUUACUUUGGAUUCCUUCAAAGCCUUAUAACCUGGGCUGAGGGAAGAAAGCGUUUUGAUAAGAUGAUUGAUCCCCAUGCCUAGGGGUAUGUUUCAUAUAUAUUAGGUGUGUUAGGUUCACGUCAGUGGGUGUUUGCUGUUGAAAUUUGUCGAAUUCAAUAAAACUCCUGCUGGGAUAGCAGCAAGUUUAGAGAAACAUAAGAGUAAAAGUCUGUUUGGGAUUGAGAGUAAAAAAUCAGCUCAGAGGGAAAAAGAGCAAAGUCACCUGCGUUUAUUCAGGUUAGUAGUAUGACAGACACAGAUAAUCCCAGCUUGAACUUAAAUGGAGACACUGCCAAGGUCAUGCAGCAGCUGGCAAAUGCACAAAUGACCCCUUCAUUGAGUGGCUAGUGCUGUGUUACCAGUGCUACUCCAUACUUGCUUACACUUCCCAUCUUUUACUAGGAACACCCAAUUGCUAAGCUACUCUCCCCUCGAGACGGCUCCCAACCCUAGUUAAUUCCUGAUACUCCUGCCCUCAUCUUAGAAACAGCAACUGAUCCAAAACUGAUUGCUUCUUCCCUUAGACCUUCCUCUGGAUUCUUCAGUAAGAGCUCAAACCUUACAUAAGAUGUUCCUCCUUCUCACUCGAGAGGUGUUCCACAACUGCUCUGGGAUUGCCUCACAUUCUCAGACUGACUUCUCAAGGUAGACAAGAGAGUCAAGUUCACAAUCAUACAUUCUCAAGAUCAAAGAGAUGAUAUUUUUUUUACUCCAAUUCCAGUGAGAAAACUCUCAAGGAAAGAUUCUUAUUUGCAAAGUCUGAGUCAUAUACGUACUUUCAGACCAAUACUGUGGCUGAAUUAGUGCAUUUGUGUGAUUGAACUAGCUGGGAACAUGUUCCCAUCCCUCAACCAAUCACUGUGGCCAAGGAGGAGGGUCGCUUAAGAAGACAUCAACACUUUCUGAUCUCAGGACUUAACACUUAAAGGAUGUGAAACCAUUGAGGCAAAAACAAAUACUUCAAAAUUUGUCUUGACUACUGGGAUUUUACAGAAUGUCUGAGACAAAACAAUUAUAGAUUUGUUAUUGGUUAAUUCAUUUCUGGAAUUUCUAUCUUAUAUGUCUCUCCUCCCUUUCAUAUUUUCUUUUUCAUGAUUCCCCCCCACCCUUUUCCUGAUUCCCACCCGAUUUUUUACCCUUGACUAGAAACUGGUAUAGAAUUUGGAAUAAAACUUCUGUAACUCAGUGAGGUUAAUGUUAAAAUUUUCUUUGGGCCAUAUAUCAGAAUUUUUAUUUUUAUAAAUUGUCUAAUGCUUAUUAAGAAUUAAAAGACGUAUCUCUUUAAAAAGUUAGUUGGCUCUGCUUCAAAUAGGUCUCUUGGGGAAAAUGCUGUUACAGUUUUCAAUUUUAAAUCCAUUAUUAUAAGCAUAACUACCUGCCUUUGACAAAAUGGAGUUAUGGAUAUUUACCCCAAUCGGUUUUAAGAGUUUCUGGAAAAGAAAACAAAAGAGAAAUCAGAAAAUAAGAUGGAUUUUUUCUUUGAGAUAAGAAGACUUUUUAUAUUUGAUGAUUUUUUUGGCCUUUGAUAUCUAUUAUAUUAUAGUGUCUAUGUGUAUCAGCUUGCUUAUUCUGUGUUUGAGAAUUUUAUCUCCUUAUGCUUCUUUGAGAUAGCAAAAUACUAAGCUAUGUGAA
Aethalodelphis obliquidens (Pacific white-sided dolphin) is the source of this 1910-nucleotide long non-coding RNA. RefSeq lists it as uncharacterized. The record is from RefSeq and is a predicted model, not a curated record. NCBI's taxonomy places the organism in Eukaryota, Metazoa, Chordata, Mammalia, Artiodactyla, Delphinidae. The transcript is spliced from 3 exons.